This 408-nucleotide ribosomal RNA is filed under the name uncultured bacterium. RNAcentral's name for it is "partial 16S ribosomal RNA". It matches the Rfam family "Bacterial small subunit ribosomal RNA", at positions 28 to 526 of the family's 1533-position model. The record is from RNAcentral.
GACGAACGCUGGCGGCGUGCUUAACACAUGCAAGUCGAACGAAGUGGCGAACGGGUGAGUAACGCGUAAUCAACCUGCCCUUCAGCGGGGGACAACAGUUGGAAACGACUGCUAAUACCGCCUACUGAAGGCGGGGAUUUCGUCUGAUUCGCUAGUUGGAGGGGUAACGGCCCACCAAGGCGAUGAUCGGUAGCAGGUCUGAGAGGAGGGACGGCCACAUUGUGACUGAGACACGGCCAAGACUCCGAGGGGAGGCAGCAGUGGGGAAUAUUCCGCAAUGGACGAAAGUCUGACGGAGAAACGCCGCGUGAGUGAUGAGGGCCUUCGGGUUGUAAAGCUCUGUUAAUCGGGACGCGGUACCGGAAUAGAAAGCAACGGCUAACUACGUGCCAGCAGCCGCGGUAAUAC